UUCGUCCACGCCCCACGCACGCCGCAUCUUCCUCGCUAACUCCUCCGGUUAUGUGGGCGAGAAUGAGGCCCUCAGAUCCCGUCACCGCCCCCACGCCAUUGGCACAGACCCCCCAUCCCGUCGCUAGGUGGAGGAUGCCGCGGAGGCAGCCGUGCCAACGACGAGCGUAGGACGCGGGUGGACUUCCCCUCGCCCUGCUCUGCCGCCCCUCCAGCCCUCAUCAUCCUCGCGCUUCUCCCGAACCAGCGUCUCCCGUCCGCCUCGGCGCCUUCCGUAGCAGGCCAGGGCCGGAGCCGAGAAUGAAGCGUUCGCACGCGUCCAUCUCUCCCUUCGAGCCCCUUCGAUGCGCCCCCGACUGUCGCCGCCAUCUUCACUGGAAGCUCUACGAUGAUCAAGACUGGGGAAGGAUGCCGAAGAUGUAGAGGUUGUUGCCCCAGUGACGCUGGAGCCCAUUCAAAGGAACAGAAGAUGCGCGUUUUUCCUCCUGACCAUUUGAGUGGUGUUCUGUGCAAUUUAUGCUUGUUUUGAAAAUUUGAUUAUAGACGUCGAAUUUAUCUCCAAUCAUCUGUUGUACUAUUGUUGGGGAACGUCGCAGAAAACAAAAAUUUUCCUACU
This is a long non-coding RNA of Triticum aestivum (bread wheat), 615 nucleotides long. RefSeq lists it as uncharacterized. The record is from RefSeq and is a predicted model, not a curated record. Lineage: Eukaryota; Viridiplantae; Streptophyta; Magnoliopsida; Poales; Poaceae. The transcript has 2 exons.